Molecule: ribosomal RNA, 253 nt
Filed under: uncultured bacterium
Lineage: Bacteria
Description: partial 16S ribosomal RNA
Rfam family: Bacterial small subunit ribosomal RNA
Source: RNAcentral
UACGUAGGCAGCGAGCGUUGUUCGGAAUUACUGGGCGUAAAGAGUGUGUAGGCGGUGCUCCCAGUCUGUUGUGAAAUCUCCCGGCUUAACUGGGAGGGUGCAGCGGAAACUAGAGUGCUAGAGGGUGGGAGAGGUAAGUGGAAUUCCUGGUGUAGCGGUGAAAUGCGUAGAUAUCAGGAGGAACACCGGUGGUGUAGACGGCUUUCUGGACCGUAACUGACGCCGAGACACGAAAGCGUGGGUAGCAAACAGG